AAAUUGAAGAGUUUGAUCAUGGCUCAGAUUGAACGCUGGCGGCAGGCCUAACACAUGCAAGUCGAACGGUAACAGGAAGCAGCUUGCUGCUUCGCUGAUGAGUGGCGGACGGGUGAGUAAUGUCUGGGAAACUGCCUGAUGGAGGGGGAUAACUACUGGAAACGGUAGCUAAUACCGCAUAAUGUCGCAAGACCAAAGAGGGGGACCUUCGGGCCUCUUGCCAUCGGAUGUGCCCAGAUGGGAUUAGCUUGUUGGUGGGGUAACGGCUCACC
Molecule: ribosomal RNA, 272 nt
Filed under: Escherichia coli
Lineage: Bacteria; Pseudomonadati; Pseudomonadota; Gammaproteobacteria; Enterobacterales; Enterobacteriaceae
Description: partial 16S ribosomal RNA
Rfam family: Bacterial small subunit ribosomal RNA
Source: RNAcentral